CCUACGGGAGGCAGCAGUGGGGAAUUUUGGACAAUGGGCGCAAGCCUGAUCCAGCAAUGCCGCGUGCAGGAUGAAGGCCUUCGGGUUGUAAACUGCUUUUGUACGGAACGAAACGGCUCUUUCUAAUAAAGAGAGCUAAUGACGGUACCGUAAGAAUAAGCACCGGCUAACUACGUGCCAGCAGCCGCGGUAAUACGUAGGGUGCGAGCGUUAAUCGGAAUUACUGGGCGUAAAGCGUGCGCAGGCGGUUAUAUAAGACAGAUGUGAAAUCCCCGGGCUCAACCUGGGACCUGCAUUUGUGACUGUAUAGCUAGAGUACGGUAGAGGGGGAUGGAAUUCCGCGUGUAGCAGUGAAAUGCGUAGAUAUGCGGAGGAACACCGAUGGCGAAGGCAAUCCCCUGGACCUGUACUGACGCUCAUGCACGAAAGCGUGGGGAGCAAACAGGAUUAGAUACCCUGGUAGUCCACGCCCUAAACGAUGUCAACUGGUUGUUGGGUCUUCACUGACUCAGUAACGAAGCUAACGCGUGAAGUUGACCGCCUGGGGAAGUACGGCCGCAAGGUUGAAACUUCAAAGGAAUUGACGGCGNGAGAGNGCCGACGGACGACGACGAGGGGAGGAGGAG
This 626-nucleotide ribosomal RNA is filed under the name uncultured bacterium. RNAcentral's name for it is "bacterial SSU rRNA". It matches the Rfam family "Bacterial small subunit ribosomal RNA", at positions 338 to 961 of the family's 1533-position model. The record is from RNAcentral.